This 253-nucleotide ribosomal RNA is filed under the name uncultured bacterium. RNAcentral describes it as "partial 16S ribosomal RNA". It matches the Rfam family "Bacterial small subunit ribosomal RNA", at positions 524 to 776 of the family's 1533-position model. The record is from RNAcentral.
UACGUAGGGCGCGAGCGUUGUCCGGAUUUAUUGGGCGUAAAGGGCUUGUAGGCGGCUUGUCGCGUCGGAUGUGAAAACCCGUGGCUCAACUGCGGGCCUGCAUUCGAUACGGGCUGGCUAGAGUACGGCAGGGGAGACUGGAAUUCCUGGUGUAGCGGUGGAAUGCGCAGAUAUCAGGAGGAACACCGGUGGCGAAGGCGGCUCACUGGCCCGAUACUGACGCUGAGGUGCGAAAGCGUGGGGAGCAAACAGG